RNAcentral lists this ribosomal RNA (428 nucleotides) under uncultured prokaryote. RNAcentral's name for it is "bacterial SSU rRNA". It matches the Rfam family "Bacterial small subunit ribosomal RNA", at positions 355 to 774 of the family's 1533-position model. The record is from RNAcentral.
UGAGGAAUUUUGCGCAAUGGGAGCAAUCCUGACGCAGCAACGCCGCGUGGGUGAUGAAGGCCUUCGGGUCGUAAAGCCCUGUCAGGUGGGAAGAAUGUCCCGGGACUGAACAGGUUCCGGGAGUGACGGUACCACCAGAGGAAGCACCGGCUAACUCCGUGCCAGCAGCCGCGGUCAUACGGAGGGUGCAAGCGUUAUUCGGAAUUACUGGGCGUAAAGCGCGUGUAGGCGGUCCCGCAAGUCUGAUGUGAAAUCCGCGGGCUUAACCCGGGAAGUGCAUUGGAAACUGUGGGACUAGAGUACUGUGGAGGAUGGGGGAAUUCCCGGUGUAGAGGUGAAAUUCGUAGAGAUCGGGAGGAAUAUCAGUGGCGAAGGCGCCCAUCUGGACGGUAACUGACGCUGAGACACGAAAGCGUGGGGAGCAAACA